UGGGGAAUAUUGCACAAUGGGCGCAAGCCUGAUGCAGCCAUGCCGCGUGUGUGAAGAAGGCCUUCGGGUUGUAAAGCACUUUCAGCGGGGAGGAAGGCGUUAAGGUUAAUAACCUUGGCGAUUGACGUUACCCGCAGAAGAAGCACCGGCUAACUCCGUGCCAGCAGCCGCGGUAAUACGGAGGGUGCAAGCGUUAAUCGGAAUUACUGGGCGUAAAGCGCACGCAGGCGGUCUGUCAAGUCGGAUGUGAAAUCCCCGGGCUCAACCUGGGAACUGCAUUCGAAACUGGCAGGCUUGAGUCUUGUAGAGGGGGGUAGAAUUCCAGGUGUAGCGGUUAAAUGCGUAGAGAUCUGGAGGAAUACCGGUGGCGAAGGCGGCCCCCUGGACAAAGACUGACGCUCAGGUGCGAAAGCGUGGGGAGCAAACAGG
This 429-nucleotide ribosomal RNA is filed under the name Chloroflexota bacterium. RNAcentral's name for it is "Chloroflexi bacterium partial 16S ribosomal RNA". It matches the Rfam family "Bacterial small subunit ribosomal RNA", at positions 355 to 776 of the family's 1533-position model. Lineage: Bacteria; Bacillati; Chloroflexota. The record is from RNAcentral.